Mirounga angustirostris (Northern elephant seal) is the source of this 1906-nucleotide long non-coding RNA. RefSeq lists it as uncharacterized. The transcript has 8 exons. The record is from RefSeq and is a predicted model, not a curated record. NCBI's taxonomy places the organism in Eukaryota, Metazoa, Chordata, Mammalia, Carnivora, Phocidae.
GGGCGGGCCAGAACCUUGCACUGGCUCUCGGGUAGAGUUGGUGGAUGUAGGAGGUCCUGGUACUGAUACUCGGGGAUGGCCGAGCACUGCGGGCGGGGUGGACUCAGUUUGAAAGCCCGUGAAAGGGUGAAUUGUUUCAUUCUGUGUGCCUAAGCUUCGUUGGACCCUGGAAUUUUGCCGGACUCCUGUUUGUUUUCCGAGCGCAGCUUUGCUCUUUGGCGGUUUGCCCAGCUGCACGACCACUCCUCAACACGUGAGGGCGCUGUGCGGCUGCGUUUCCCCUUGAGUCUCUCUGGGCCUCCCGGAAAGAGCUACUCUUGCUGGCGCUUGUGUGUCAGAAGGAAGAGGUGAGCGCAAGCCUCUUGGAGCUAUUGACACUACUUGAAACAAGAUCCUAAGGAGGCUACUGCUCAGAGAAUUCCAAAUGAUACCCAUGAUCACACAUAAACAUAAGUGAGGCUGGAAAAUGCAGUUGAGCUGUAUGACCAGAAAGAAGAGGAAAGAGGUGCAAUGAUCAGCUAAUCAAUCCUCUUUCUACUGGCUGGAUCACUGCUGGUGUGUCAGGUGCUAAGCCCUGGCUCCAUCUAUUCAUCCUGAUCUGUAUUUCAUGCAUCAUGCUGGCCCUGUGCUGUCUUCUGCCAACCCUGUAGAGUUCCUUGCCUGAUAUACAUUCCCAGGACUGGUACUUGACAGGUGCUGAUCCCAAGAUUAAUCCCAUAACGUUACUGAUGCUAAUCUUCAUCUCAGAGCCUCCUUUUUUGGGACCACAACUUGUAAAUUUGGAGGUUCUACCAGGAUGGUUCAACUCAUGAGAACCUACCAGAAUGAAGAAAAAACAGCCCUGAAUCAAGUAAUACCACACUAAGAAUGACAUUGAAAACAUGGAGAGGGAGUUUGGAGCCAGAGUAUUGGAUGUCCCCAUGGUUUGGGGACAGUGAAUGUGCCCAUCCUCGCUCUUCAAGUUCCUGGAAAAGUCAUUUGAUGUCAGAAGGAUGUCAGAGGACUGGAGGAAAGGGUUGUACUUCUUCCUUUUGAAGUCCCAAGCCCCCACCUGCUUCUUACUUCAGGAUGACUUACAGACCUCAUUUUGCCUGACUGUCUUUGGAGUUUCCAUGUCUUUGUGGAUUCCCCGUAUGUACACUCUUUAAUUUGAUUUUCUCCGGUUAAUCUGUUUCAUAUCAAUUUGAUUCUUAGUCUGGCUAGAAGGACCUGGAAGGGGACAGAAAUUUUUGCUCCCCAACGGUGAUCUUGAGUGAAUUACUUUCUCUGUGCCUCUGUUUCAUUGUUUGUAAAUGGGGAUAAUAAAAGUACCUACCUCACAGGGCCAUUAGGAUUAAAUUAGUUAAUACUUAGAACAUCUCUUGGUAUAUAGUACAUCCUUUGUAGUUAUUACCAAUUACUCCCCAGUAUCUGCAGAAUUUCAGGUCUGUCCUGGCAUUCACCUCUGUUUAGGUUAGGAUUACACUGCAUUUGGCUGAUAGUCUUUCAGGUUAUAGUUUGUUAUUAUGGCUAUUUCUUGAUUUCGUUUGAAAUGCAAUUUCCUCCCAUUUUACAUAUUCUUUGGGUGAUGGUGGGGGUUGAUUUCAUAUGGGAAGAAAUAUCUCUUCACAGUUUUUCAAUAUAAGAUAAAGAGAUCAUUCUACACAUAUGUAAUGUAUCCCUGAUCAUUUCUGUCAUUAAAAUAAGAAGAUACAUAUUCUUUCUCUGUGCUUCGGUUGUAUUUGAUAUUUACUUGGAUAAAGAACACAUUUACUUGGUAAAGAACACAUCUAUCCAGAAAGAAUUCAGAGACUUUGAAGUGGUUUUUUUUUUGUUGUUGUUGUUGUUUUCACUUGUGUUUUGUUAUCUUAAAAAUCCCUAGCCAUUUAUCUGAUAGAAAUGCUAUCCCAUUUGAUGGGUGGAGGGU